Molecule: long non-coding RNA, 983 nt
Organism: Daphnia pulex (common water flea)
Lineage: Eukaryota; Metazoa; Arthropoda; Branchiopoda; Diplostraca; Daphniidae
Exons: 2
Source: RefSeq, a predicted model, not a curated record
AUCGUUGAGUCCUCCGAGCUGUAAAUUGUCUCGGUGUGUUCGACGUAGCAAAAGGAGAAGAAACAAAAGGAAAUGGAUAGAUGUCUGUCCGAGAUAAAUCGGCUGACAGUUUGGUAAAUGGAAAGAAAACGGUCGGACGAUUCUGGAGAAAUAAACGCCCUGCUCAAAGUUCCUGCGCUGAAAAAAUCUGUACCGGGAAAAAGAAAAGUCCCCUCUCUCUCUGUGGGGCGUAUUUACCAGGGAGACACACUCACGCGGAAGAAUAUUGACAUCACGUCGUCAUCGCCCCGUUUCCCCCACCCACCUCCUCAAUCAAUCGAUUGAUGGAACGUAGCCAAUCAACGCUCAAAGUUAUGUAGGUGUCCCGAGAUCAUCAAUCACCCUGGGUGCCCGUGUUAUAACCUGCGUGUAUUUGCAAGAGCCCCAAUUUCAGAUGCUGCGGGUGUGGAAAUCAGGAGCGGGAGUUUCGAUUCAUCAUCGUUGGAGAAGCAAAAAUAAGGGUCUUCCCCCCCCCCACACGUCCUGUCGUCCCCGGUCGGGACCCUUGGAAUGAAUAACUGCUCCCGAAAAAAGUUGGAUGGGUUCAUGGCAUGGGUCCCACUGGGCCACCGGCGCGCCUACGCAGAUAAAUAUUUUUCACGGUGGCAAAUUGAUGAUGUGCAAUUUCAUUGAAAAAAUUUCCGCUGCGCUAUCGAUUCAUCUUCUUGGGUGCUGGGCGACGAAUUUUGGCGCUUUUGAAAAUCCCCCUCCCCAUCUGAUCCUGCACAUAUUUGCACGAUAGCCUCGGCAACUGUGUCAAUAGCCAAGUCGGGGAUGAUGUGAUGGGUGGGGACUUACUCGGAUGAUUGAAGUCUUACCGACGCUCUUGGCGCCGAUAAAAGCGAUGGUCAAUCUCUUGGUAGUUGAGCCGACAUUCUCGCCACCGGCGUCACCUCCUCCGGCCAUUGACAGGAAUUUCUUUUUUCCUAUUUUCUUUCCUGUUU